RNAcentral lists this ribosomal RNA (191 nucleotides) under uncultured Thermus sp. RNAcentral's name for it is "partial 16S ribosomal RNA". It matches the Rfam family "Bacterial small subunit ribosomal RNA", at positions 1195 to 1382 of the family's 1533-position model. The record is from RNAcentral. Lineage: Bacteria; Thermotogati; Deinococcota; Deinococci; Thermales; Thermaceae.
AUGGCCCUUACGGCCUGGGCGACACACGUGCUACAAUGCCCACUACAAAGCGGAUGCCACCCGGCAACGGGAGCUAAUCGCAAAAAGGUGGGCCCAGUUCGGAUUGGGGUCUGCAACCCGACCCCAUGAAGCCGGAAUCGCUAGUAAUCGCGGAUCAGCCAUGCCGCGGUGAAUACCGGUUCCCGGGCCUU